This 73-nucleotide transfer RNA is filed under the name Acanthoscelides obtectus. It matches the Rfam family "tRNA". Rfam says of the family: Transfer RNA (tRNA) molecules are approximately 80 nucleotides in length. Their secondary structure includes four short double-helical elements and three loops (D, anti-codon, and T loops). Further hydrogen bonds mediate the characteristic L-shaped molecular structure. tRNAs have two regions of fundamental functional importance: the anti-codon, which is responsible for specific mRNA codon recognition, and the 3' end, to which the tRNAs corresponding amino acid is attached (by aminoacyl-tRNA synthetases). tRNAs cope with the degeneracy of the genetic code in two manners: having more than one tRNA (with a specific anti-codon) for a particular amino acid; and 'wobble' base-pairing, i.e. permitting non-standard base-pairing at the 3rd anti-codon position. The record is from Rfam by way of RNAcentral. Lineage: Eukaryota; Metazoa; Arthropoda; Insecta; Coleoptera; Chrysomelidae.
GCCUAUGUAGCUCAAGUGGCAAAGCACCGGUCUUUUAAGCCAGAGGUCGUGAGUUCAAUCCUCACAGGAGGCA